RNAcentral lists this ribosomal RNA (473 nucleotides) under uncultured bacterium. RNAcentral describes it as "bacterial SSU rRNA". It matches the Rfam family "Bacterial small subunit ribosomal RNA", at positions 50 to 518 of the family's 1533-position model. The record is from RNAcentral.
AAUACAUGCAAGUCGAGCGAGCUACUUCGGUAGCGAGCGGCGCACGGGUGAGUAACGCGUAGAUGAUCUACCCUCGAGACUGAGAUACCUCCGGGAAAACUGGAGUUAAUACCAGAUAACGCACAUUUGUUGGUUCAGAUGUGUUAAAGCGGUGCAAGUCGCACUUGAGGAUGAGUCUGCGGCCUAUCAGCUAGUUGGUGGGGUAGCGGCCUACCAAGGCGAAGACGGGUAGCUGAUCUGAGAGGAUGAUCAGCCACAGUUGGGACUGAGACACCGGACCCAAACUCCGUACGGGAGGCAGCAGUAGGGAAUAUUGCGCAAGUCGGGGGAACCCUGACGCAGCGACGCCGCGUGAGUGAAUGACGGCCAUUUUGGUUGUAAAGCUCUGUAAAGAGGGAAAAAUGUUGCAGUGAAGAGCUGCAAUUGAUGGUACCUCUAAAGUAAGGACCGGCUAAAUACGUGCCAGCCGCAGC